Molecule: long non-coding RNA, 224 nt
Filed under: Homo sapiens (human)
Lineage: Eukaryota; Metazoa; Chordata; Mammalia; Primates; Hominidae
Description: HSALNT0206962
Source: RNAcentral
CUUUUCUUAUUUUAAAUCUUGAGUUUUGGUGCCAAGUUUUCUGUGUGUGAGGCUCUGUUUCUGGCUUAUAUGUUGGUCAUUAUUAUUUGCCAUUGUUUACAUCUAAAAAUUAAAACGCACAGGAUUAAAUCUAACUUGUGACCAAACUAAAUGUUUGUGUACUUUAAAGGACCUAAAUCUCUGUGUAUGGAGUUUUCAGCAAGCACGUGAAGUUGUCACCAUCC